GGGGAAUUGUUCGCAAUGGGCGCAAGCCUGACGACGCAACGCCGCGUGGAGGAUGAAGAUCUUCGGGUCGUAAACUCCUGUCGAGCGGGAAGAACACCUUUCGGGCGAAUAUCCCGGAAGGCUGACGGUACCGCUAAAGGAAGCCCCGGCUAACUCCGUGCCAGCAGCCGCGGUAAUACGGGGGGGGCAAGCGUUGUUCGGAAUUACUGGGCGUAAAGGGCGCGUAGGCGGCUUAUCAAGUCAGGCGUGAAAUUCCCGGGCUCAACCUGGGGGCUGCGCUUGAUACUGAUGAGCUUGAAUGCGGGAGAGGAUAGUGGAAUUCCCAGUGUAGAGGUGAAAUUCGUAGAUAUUGGGAAGAACACCGGUGGCGAAGGCGGCUAUCUGGCCCGUAAUUGACGCUGAGGCGCGAAAGCGUGGGGAGCAAA
This 425-nucleotide ribosomal RNA is filed under the name uncultured bacterium. Its description in RNAcentral is "bacterial SSU rRNA". It matches the Rfam family "Bacterial small subunit ribosomal RNA", at positions 356 to 772 of the family's 1533-position model. The record is from RNAcentral.